Molecule: transfer RNA, 77 nt
Filed under: Hanseniaspora uvarum DSM 2768
Lineage: Eukaryota; Fungi; Ascomycota; Saccharomycetes; Saccharomycodales; Saccharomycodaceae
Description: tRNA-Tyr
Rfam family: tRNA
About the family: Transfer RNA (tRNA) molecules are approximately 80 nucleotides in length. Their secondary structure includes four short double-helical elements and three loops (D, anti-codon, and T loops). Further hydrogen bonds mediate the characteristic L-shaped molecular structure. tRNAs have two regions of fundamental functional importance: the anti-codon, which is responsible for specific mRNA codon recognition, and the 3' end, to which the tRNAs corresponding amino acid is attached (by aminoacyl-tRNA synthetases). tRNAs cope with the degeneracy of the genetic code in two manners: having more than one tRNA (with a specific anti-codon) for a particular amino acid; and 'wobble' base-pairing, i.e. permitting non-standard base-pairing at the 3rd anti-codon position.
Source: RNAcentral
CUCCUGGUAGCUUAGUUGGUUUAAAGCACAAGACUGUAAUUAUCUUGGGAUCGGGUGUUCGAAUCACCCCCGGGAGA